Long non-coding RNA from Lepus europaeus (European hare), 553 nucleotides. RefSeq lists it as uncharacterized. NCBI's taxonomy places the organism in Eukaryota, Metazoa, Chordata, Mammalia, Lagomorpha, Leporidae. The transcript has 6 exons. The record is from RefSeq and is a predicted model, not a curated record.
CGGGGAUUGGACAGCUGGGGUUGCUUCUGAAGUCUGAGGAGACUGCAUUUGUACCUGAGGAAGGCGGGAGAGCGAAACGCUUGCAGGUUUUUCUCCCUAGGCUCGGCAAGGUCUGCCUUGAAAGGAAGCUGGAGUCAGGAGCCAGAACUGAGAAUGGAACUCGGGUACUCCACUGUGGGACAAGGGCAUCUUAACUGCUGAGGUUCAUUCCUUAACCAGUCAUGGCAGGCAAAUGGGACUACUACGAUUGUCUUUGUUUGAUGUCACAGAUGAUUCAUCCUCAGCGUCUUCUGCUACUUGUCUACUUUGCUGCCUCCACACCAAGGAUAGUCUCUACCAGAUGUGGCACUAAUGGGAUGACUGAUCCUGUACUGUGAACUUCCAAACUAGAAUAAUAAUUGAAAACUACAGUUUGCAUGCAAGGAAUAUUCACUGCUACCAAUAUCCUUCAAACAACACCAAAGCAAAGAAAAACAAAACAGAAACAAAGUCCCACAAGAUUUAACCAAGAAACUACUACCAAUGCCAUCACCACUAGCAGCAACAAAAUGUC